This 301-nucleotide ribosomal RNA is filed under the name uncultured bacterium. RNAcentral's name for it is "partial 16S ribosomal RNA". It matches the Rfam family "Bacterial small subunit ribosomal RNA", at positions 509 to 807 of the family's 1533-position model. The record is from RNAcentral.
CAGCAGCCACGGUAAAACGGGGGGCGCGAGCGUUACCCGGAUUUACUGGGCGUAAAGGGCGUGUAGGCGGCCUGGGGCGUCCCAUGUGAAAGGCCACGGCUCAACCGUGGAGGAGCGUGGGAUACGCUCAGGCUAGAGGGUGGGAGAGGGUGGUGGAAUUCCCGGAGUAGCGGUGAAAUGCGCAGAUACCGGGAGGAACGCCGAUGGCGAAGGCAGCCACCUGGUCCACUUCUGACGCUGAGGCGCGAAAGCGUGGGGAGCAAACCGGAUUAGAUACCCCAGUAGUCCCUGUCUCUUAUAC